This 256-nucleotide long non-coding RNA is filed under the name Lathyrus oleraceus (garden pea). RNAcentral's name for it is "Pisum sativum (pea) long non-coding RNA (PSAT_LNC015180)". Lineage: Eukaryota; Viridiplantae; Streptophyta; Magnoliopsida; Fabales; Fabaceae. The record is from RNAcentral.
UAGAACUAUGUUAUCUUAUUAUAUGUAUUAUCGAUAUUGUUGUAUUAAAUUUGUAAAGAAUUUUUAAAAUAUUUAUUUUAUUAAGUUGUGAACAUAUGAUUAUGUGUGACAUAUUUAUGAAAUUUAUUUUUAUUUUAUUAGUUUAUUUAAUAAAUGGUUCGACUGUGGUUUAACCGGUUGAACCAAUUGAACCUUAAACCGUAAGUUUCACCGGUUCGAUCUCCGGUCCGGUUUUUAAAACAUUGUAUUAGAUCAC